RNAcentral lists this ribosomal RNA (413 nucleotides) under Clostridioides difficile. RNAcentral describes it as "partial 23S ribosomal RNA". It matches the Rfam family "Bacterial large subunit ribosomal RNA", at positions 2510 to 2925 of the family's 2925-position model. The record is from RNAcentral. Lineage: Bacteria; Bacillati; Bacillota; Clostridia; Peptostreptococcales; Peptostreptococcaceae.
GGGGAGGUUUGGCACCUCGAUGUCGGCUCAUCACAUCCUGGGGCUGUAGUAGGUCCCAAGGGUUGGGCUGUUCGCCCAUUAAAGUGGUACGCGAGCUGGGUUCAGAACGUCGUGAGACAGUUCGGUCCCUAUCCGUCGCAGGCGUAGGAAAUUUGAGAAGACCUGUCCUUAGUACGAGAGGACCGGGAUGGACGUACCUCUGGUGUACCAGUUGUCCUGCCAAGGGCAUGGCUGGGUAGCUAUGUACGGAAUGGAUAAGCGCUGAAAGCAUCUAAGCGCGAAGCCAACUUCAAGAUAAGAUUUCCCACCGCAAGGGUAAGACCCCAGAAAGACUAUCUGGUUGAUAGGUCGAAGGUGUAAGUGCAGCAAUGUAUUUAGCUUAUCGAUACUAAUAGGUCGAGGACUUGACCAAU